CAUUGAUUUGCGGUGAUGGUUGUGUAAGUGUGGAAACCCUAGAAACCAUUGUAUGCCUUAAACCAUGGUUUUGUAUCUCAGUAAAGCUAUUAUGAAAAUUUGAAAAGUGGUGAUGAUUUUGUCAAAAAGAAAAAGAAAGAAAGGAAGGAAGCUCUCAGGCUGCAUCUAUCUGCCGUGUUUUAGCACUGGGCCAGGGAGCAGCAGUGGUGUGUUUUUGUGUUUUUCUCUCCUGGAGCAAUAACACCGUUGCACAGCAUGUGUGUGUGUGUGUGUGUGUGUGUGUGUGUGUGUGUGACUUCCUUUACCUGUAACCCCAGCUUCACUGACCCUGGCUUGCUGGAUUCCAGGAUCUGCCCAGUCUCGCUCAGCACCCUGGUGGCUUCACCUGGCAGGGACCCCUCGUGUCCGCCUGGAGCAGCAGUCUGGCCCCACAGAGCAGCUCCAAUGACACUGCGCCUCCUGCUUCCCAAGUGAGCCUUGAGACCUGAUUGCCACGGCUGCCUCCUGCCUGUGUCUCACCCGCUGACCCUGCUGUCCACUGUUGGGGGUCAGCUAUGAUAUGGACAGAUUGCUGGGGGUCAGGAAACAGGCCCCUCGCAGUCCCAAGGAACCCAGGGGUCUUACUGGCACCCGACAGUCCCUGACCAUCAGGGCAGAUGUGUUUCCUCUCAUGACCCGAACCGUGGUGAUCAGCAGGGCCUCGGGCAGCUCCCCCCACCCCACCCACUCACUGUGUGACAUGUUGGGAAUUGCACAUGGCAACUAAUCAGCGACAACAAGAGGACGUGAGGAUCUUGAGAUGUGCAGAAUGAAAAGAUCUCGUGACUAGUAGGAUGUGGUGGUGCAUACCCAUCAGUCUAGCACUCAGGAGGCUGAGGCAGGAGGAUCACCAUGAAUUGGAGGCCACCCUGGGCUACAUAGUGAGUUCAAGUUCAGCCUGAACUACAUAGGAGACCCUGUCUCAAAAAACUAAAAAGAAAAGCACCUCAGGACUAGGUGAUCUGCCCCAGGUCAGCCUCCCAGGAAGGGAGCUCCAGCUGCCACCUCCAACCAGCUGGCCAAUCACUGCCCUUCCUUCCUCUGCAGCCUCCCACGGGGUGGCAAGCAGACGGAUCCAAGUGUGGCACCAGCGCUGUACCCGCUCUGUCCUCAUGCUGCUGUGCUCCGCUGCUCGUAAGUCUCCCCACCUGUGCCGAGAACACUGGGGAACCAAGACGAGCCCCUCCCUCUCUAAAGGGAAAAGGCAGGCACAGAGGAACCAAGAUAUUCAUUUAGGGAAACAGGAAAGGGCUAGAAAUUUAGCUGGGUCAGAAGUUGAAUGAUAAUCAACAAGGCUUUGUUUUUAAAUAAAAUGUUUUAAUAAAAUACUGCCCACAUGUUGUUUUUUCAAGGGUGUUAGGGUGGUUGGUGUGAAUGACAAUAUACGAUAGUCUACAUCAUCAGUAGCAAAAACAAGGAGUCUCGAAUAAAUAGGCUUCGGUGU
Molecule: non-coding RNA, 1483 nt
Organism: Heterocephalus glaber (naked mole-rat)
Lineage: Eukaryota; Metazoa; Chordata; Mammalia; Rodentia; Bathyergidae
Source: RefSeq, a predicted model, not a curated record